RNAcentral lists this ribosomal RNA (115 nucleotides) under Escherichia coli. Its description in RNAcentral is "partial 16S ribosomal RNA". It matches the Rfam family "Bacterial small subunit ribosomal RNA", at positions 1429 to 1533 of the family's 1533-position model. Lineage: Bacteria; Pseudomonadati; Pseudomonadota; Gammaproteobacteria; Enterobacterales; Enterobacteriaceae. RNAcentral also lists the same sequence under 6 other names. The record is from RNAcentral.
GGUAGCUUAACCUUCGGGAGGGCGCUUACCACUUUGUGAUUCAUGACUGGGGUGAAGUCGUAACAAGGUAACCGUAGGGGAACCUGCGGUUGGAUCACCUCCUUACCUUAAAGAA